Molecule: ribosomal RNA, 365 nt
Filed under: uncultured bacterium
Lineage: Bacteria
Description: bacterial SSU rRNA
Rfam family: Bacterial small subunit ribosomal RNA
Source: RNAcentral
AGUAACGCGUGAGAAUCUGCCCUCAGGAGGGGGACAACAGUUGGAAACGACUGCUAAUACCCCAUAUGCCGCGAGGUGAAAUGAAUUUCGCCUGAGGAUGAGCUCGCGUCUGAUUAGCUAGUUGGUGUAGGUAAUGGCUCACCAAGGCAUCGAUCAGUAGCUGGUCUGAGAGGAUGAUCAGCCACACUGGGACUGAGACACGGCCCAGACUCCUACGGGAGGCAGCAGUGGGGAAUUUUCCGCAAUGGGCGAAAGCCUGACGGAGCAACGCCGCGUGAGGGAUGAAGGCCUCUGGGCUGUAAACCUCUUUUAUCAAGGAAGAAGAUCUGACGGUACUUGAUGAAUAAGCCACGGCUAAUUCCGUG